This 492-nucleotide ribosomal RNA is filed under the name uncultured bacterium. RNAcentral describes it as "partial 16S ribosomal RNA". It matches the Rfam family "Bacterial small subunit ribosomal RNA", at positions 29 to 507 of the family's 1533-position model. The record is from RNAcentral.
AGUGAACGCUGGCGGUAGGCCUAACACAUGCAAGUCGAACGGCAGCACAGUAAGAGCUUGCUCUUACGGGUGGCGAGUGGCGGACGGGUGAGGAAUACAUCGGAAUCUACUUUUUCGUGGGGGAUAACGUAGGGAAACUUACGCUAAUACCGCAUACGACCUACGGGUGAAAGCAGGGGAUCUUCGGACCUUGCGCGAUUGAAUGAGCCGAUGUCGGAUUAGCUAGUUGGCGGGGUAAAGGCCCACCAAGGCGACGAUCCGUAGCUGGUCUGAGAGGAUGAUCAGCCGCACUGGAACUGAGACACGGUCCAGACUCCUACGGGAGGCAGCAGUGGGGAAUAUUGGACAAUGGGCGCAAGCCUGAUCCAGCCAUACCGCGUGGGUGAAGAAGGCCUUCGGGUUGUAAAGCCCUUUUGUUGGGAAAGAAAAGCAGCAGGUUAAUACCCCGCUGUUCUGACGGUACCCAAAGAAUAAGCACCGGCUAACUUUGUG